GCCACUCGUUCACUGUGCGCUCUCGAAACGUACCCCCAACGAACCUAUUUGAGGACAUUUGGUUACGAUCUCAAUCGUCGUGUUCCAGCACAACUGUCAUCAAUAUGACUCGGAAUGCAAGAUUCUUUAUAUUCCAUAUAUCUAGCAACAACACAACGCAACGCGAUAUUGCAUUUCCUCAUCAUGAACAAACCCGUUGGCCUAAAUCGUUUUUUGAAGUUACUUGCAUCACACACACGACGCUGAAUUAUAUACUUUUGUGUCUACUUGGCAAUUCAUAGAUAGAUCACAUCACCUAAAGUUGCAAUUCCUUUUAUGGAUUGGUCAACAACACGCAAGACUCUUUUGAUCCAUUGAUUUCAAUUUUCCACCAUUGCUCUAUACAAAAAAAAAAUGAAAAGUUUUAAUAACUUCUUUAAGUACACCUCAGAAAGCUUUUAAAAGAGAAAUGAUACAAUCCAACAAAUAAAUAAAAUAUGUGAUCUUUUAGUGCUCUACUACUCUGCUC
RNAcentral lists this long non-coding RNA (508 nucleotides) under Capsella rubella. RNAcentral describes it as "long non-coding RNA (CRUB_LNC002839)". Lineage: Eukaryota; Viridiplantae; Streptophyta; Magnoliopsida; Brassicales; Brassicaceae. The record is from RNAcentral.